AUUGAACGCUGGCGGCAUGCCUUACACAUGCAAGUCGAACGGUAACGCGGGGGCAACCCUGGCGACGAGUGGCGAACGGGUGAGUAAUACAUCGGAACGUACCCAGUAGUGGGGGAGUAGCCCGGCGAAAGCCGGAUUAAUACCGCAUACGACCUAUGGGUGAAAGCGGGGGAUCGCAAGACCUCGCGCUAUUGGAGCGGCCGAUGUCGGAUUAGCUAGUUGGUGAGGUAAAGGCUCACCAAGGCUACGAUCCGUAGCUGGUCUGAGAGGACGACCAGCCACACUGGGACUGAGACACGGCCCAGACUCCUACGGGAGGCAGCAGUGGGGAAUUUUGGACAAUGGGCGCAAGCCUGAUCCAGCCAUGCCGCGUGUGUGAAGAAGGCC
RNAcentral lists this ribosomal RNA (387 nucleotides) under uncultured bacterium. Its description in RNAcentral is "bacterial SSU rRNA". It matches the Rfam family "Bacterial small subunit ribosomal RNA", at positions 29 to 416 of the family's 1533-position model. The record is from RNAcentral.